CUGUCGGUGUUAACUGGCAUGUUCUGUGGAACGUCCUGCCGGUGGCGGUCCGGGCUCUCGUUCUGCGUAAGGGUAACUCCCGAAGCAGUUCGAACAGUUCCGGCCGCCGGUUCAAUCCCGCCACGGUGCUCUUCACCGAGUGUCGAGGUGGGCCGGCACUUUUACUUUGAACAAAUUAGAGUGCUUAAAGCAGGCGGUUUCCGCCUGAAUACUGUGUGCAUGGAAUAAUGGAAUAGGACCUCGGUUCUAUUUUGUUGGUUUUCAGAACCCGAGGUAAUGAUUAAUAGGGACAGGCGGGGGCAUUCGUAUUGCGACGUUAGAGGUGAAAUUCUUGGAUCGUCGCAAGACGAACCUAAGCGAAAGCAUUUGCCAAGUAUGUUCUCGUUAAUCAAGAACGAAAGUUAGAGGUUCGAAGGCGAUCAGAUACCGCCCUAGUUCUAACCAUAAACGAUGCCAGCCAGCGAUCCGCCGAAGUUCCUCCGAUGACUCGGCGGGCAGCUUCCGGGAAACCAAAGCUUUUGGGUUCCGGGGGAAGUAUGGUUGCAAAGCUGAAACUUAAAGGAAUUGACGGAAGGGCACCACCAGGAGUGGAGCCUGCGGCUUAAUUUGACUCAACACGGGAAACCUCACCAGGCCCGGACACCGGAAGGAUUGACAGAUUGAGAGCUCUUUCUUGAUUCGGUGGGUGGUGGUGCAUGGCCGUUCUUAGUUGGUGGAGCGAUUUGUCUGGUUAAUUCCGAUAACGAACGAGACUCUAGCCUGUUAACUAGGCGAUUUCCGGUACCCACAAUAGUGUUACCGGCGAUUCAAUUUCUUCUUAGAGGGACAGGCGGCUUCUAGCCGCACGAGACUGAGCAAUAACAGGUCUGUAAUGCCCUUAGAUGUUCUGGGCCGCACGCGCGCUACACUGAAGGAAUCAGCGUGUCUUCCCUGGCCGACAGGCCCGGGUAACCCGUUGAACCUCCUUCGUGCUAGGGAUUGGGGCUUGCAAUUGUUCCCCAUGAACGAGGAAUUCCCAGUAAGCGCGAGUCAUAAGCUCGCGUUGAUUACGUCCCUGCCCUUUGUACACACCGCCCGUCGCUACUACCGAUUGAAUGAUUUAGUGAGGUCUUCGGACUGGUGCGCGGCUGUCGGGUCUCCGGCAGCCGAUGUUGCCGGAA
This 1160-nucleotide ribosomal RNA is filed under the name Kyphomachaerota maaia. RNAcentral describes it as "SSU rRNA". It matches the Rfam family "Eukaryotic small subunit ribosomal RNA", at positions 638 to 1752 of the family's 1831-position model. The record is from RNAcentral. Lineage: Eukaryota; Metazoa; Arthropoda; Insecta; Hemiptera; Machaerotidae.